Lycium barbarum (goji berry) is the source of this 402-nucleotide long non-coding RNA. RefSeq lists it as uncharacterized. The record is from RefSeq and is a predicted model, not a curated record. NCBI's taxonomy places the organism in Eukaryota, Viridiplantae, Streptophyta, Magnoliopsida, Solanales, Solanaceae. The transcript has 2 exons.
UUAGUGCCAAGGCUUCUUUAGCAUAACAACUGUCUUUAGCCAUUCUCAGGCCGUGGUUGUUUGCAGAAACUGCUACACUGUGUUGGGCCAGCCUACUGGUGGACAUGCUAGAAACACGGGACUCGGGGAAUGCCUAAUACCUUAUUUUUGGUCAACAUAAUUCCUUAUCCGGUCUUUUAUUUUGGCAGACCAAUAAUAGAAGAGUGAUUUCCUUUUGAUUAGAGAUUCAAUAAGGUGACUUGGAACACCAAAACUCAAUUCUAAGUGGCGACUCUGUAAAUAGGAAUUGUUUGGAGCUCAAGAAUCAUUUGGAGUUCUUAAUUCUUGUAUUGAAUUCUUCUACAUUCUAUCCUUCUAUUGUAACCCAUCUGAAUAUCAAUAAAAUUCCACAAUUUGUUCCAA